Molecule: unclassified non-coding RNA, 265 nt
Filed under: uncultured Marasmius
Lineage: Eukaryota; Fungi; Basidiomycota; Agaricomycetes; Agaricales; Tricholomataceae
Description: partial contains 5.8S ribosomal RNA, internal transcribed spacer 2, and large subunit ribosomal RNA
Rfam family: 5.8S ribosomal RNA (bases 1-52)
Source: RNAcentral
AACGCACAUUGCGCCUUUUGGUAUUCCGAGAGGCAUGUCUGUCUGAGCGUCAUGAACACACCUCAGGUUCGGGUCUUGUUACCCGGUCCUGGUCCUGGGUUGAGGGGUUCCACCCCGAAGCCUUAAAGAUGAAGCUUGCGAGCCGUCGUCUCAACACAAAGCGUAGUAAAGCUCUUGCCUCGCCUAGUUUUGACGGCCUGCUCCGCCUUGAGCAACCAAUGACACUUUUGACCUCAGAUCAGACAAGGAUACCCGCUGAACUUAA